Carica papaya (papaya) is the source of this 513-nucleotide non-coding RNA. The record is from RefSeq and is a predicted model, not a curated record. Lineage: Eukaryota; Viridiplantae; Streptophyta; Magnoliopsida; Brassicales; Caricaceae.
GAUGAUUGGCGAGAUCUGAGGGCAAAUUAGACAUUUUGAAAACUUUCUACGGCGUUUCUGAUAAUCGUCAACUUUCUUUUUUUGGUUUUAUGAUAAGAAAGGUGAUUCCCCGAUAUAUCGUCAACUUUAACAGAAGAGUAGAUCCAUGGGAUAAACAUAAAUGAUAAACCCAAUGUUUACCUUCAUUUUACCAGCGAAUGAUACGAUAAUAACGCCAUAGACUUCCAAUGAUAAUGUUGAAAAUGGUGGCAUCUCUCUAAAAUUUUAUCAGAGCGAUUAAUAAAAGGCGUUUUGUUUUUGUUACUGAAUCCUGCCUGCUUCGAUUCAAAGGAAAAUGGCUCUAAAUCCUUCCCUGUUGCCUGAGAUCGGACCCGAUGGCCUCGCUAGAGAAGCCCCUGUUAUUGCCUACACUGAGAAGAUAAUUGAGGAAGAACAGCUGCAAUUAAAGAAGUGUUACAGGAGUCCUGGAAAUAAUAAUUUGGUCCUAAUGGAUGCUGAAGUGAUAACAUAAUU